This 496-nucleotide ribosomal RNA is filed under the name uncultured bacterium. Its description in RNAcentral is "partial 16S ribosomal RNA". It matches the Rfam family "Bacterial small subunit ribosomal RNA", at positions 28 to 506 of the family's 1533-position model. The record is from RNAcentral.
GAUGAACGCUGGCGGCGUGCCUAAUACAUGCAAGUCGAGCGAACAGACGAGGAGCUUGCUCCUUUGACGUUAGCGGCGGACGGGUGAGUAACACGUAGGUAACCUACCUAUAAGACUGGGAUAACUUCGGGAAACCGGAGCUAAUACCGGAUAAUAUUUCGAACCGCAUGGUUCGAUAGUGAAAGAUGGCUUUGCUAUCACUUAUAGAUGGACCUGCGCCGUAUUAGCUAGUUGGUAAGGUAACGGCUUACCAAGGCAACGAUACGUAGCCGACCUGAGAGGGUGAUCGGCCACACUGGAACUGAGACACGGUCCAGACUACUACGGGAGGCAGCAGUAGGGAAUCUUCCGCAAUGGGCGAAAGCCUGACGGAGCAACGCCGCGUGAGUGAUGAAGGUCUGCGGAUCGUAAAACUCUGUUAUUAGGGAAGAACAAACGUGUAAGUAACUGUGCACGUCUUGACGGUACCUAAGCAGAAAGCCACGGCUAACUACGU